This is a long non-coding RNA of Carassius auratus (goldfish), 709 nucleotides long. RefSeq lists it as uncharacterized. The transcript has 3 exons. NCBI's taxonomy places the organism in Eukaryota, Metazoa, Chordata, Actinopteri, Cypriniformes, Cyprinidae. The record is from RefSeq and is a predicted model, not a curated record.
GUGUUUUACAUUAGUGACGUUUUCUUCACUUAUUUGAAUACUUGUCUGAGAAGCUAGUGAUCUCACUGAUGCUUGCUGAUAUUUGCCUUUGAAAAAGGAGGAGGAGGAGGAGUGAGAGAGAAGGAGAAAAGGGUGAGAGAAGGAGUGAGACCUGAUUGGAUUGGAGGGAGAGUAGAGGAGGUAUGGGGAUACAAUGAGCUGAGAGAGAGAGAGAGAGAGAGGGAGCGCAUGUGAGGAAGGGAGGGGGUUUGGAGUCAGAGUGAAUGCAGCUUGCACUGCUGUGCUUUGGAAUUACAGCUAUGAACAUUGUCUGGGACUUGAAAAAGAAAGGAAAGCAAAGGAGAAAAGGAGAGAGAGUGGAAGAGAAACAUUACAGAGCCUCUUGAUGCUCGACGCUGAAGAGAGUGUGUGAGAAGGAAAGGAGGAGGCGCACCGGAGGAGCUUCACACGAUCCUCUCAUCUUCAGUUCCUGAGCAGACCGGCCUGUUGUCCCUCAUCACCGGGGUCGGCAUUGGAACUGCGUCUCACCACAGUGUGCAGUGCUCCAAGCCGGCUCUGCUCAGAAUGGCUCCACAGAGCAGGGAUUGUGUUAACCUGAGGAGGACCACUCUCACACAGGGAACAGUCCGUCUCACCAGAGAGCUUUACGCUUUGAUGAGGCUGUUAUUUGACACGACCAUCUACAAUUAGUCAUUCUGGGAACCCAUGG